CCUACGGGUGGCAGCAGUGAGGAAUAUUGGUCAAUGGACGGAAGUCUGAACCAGCCAUGCCGCGUGCAGGAAGACGGCUCUAUGAGUUGUAAACUGCUUAUGUACAAGGGUAAAUCUGAAUACGUGUAUUCAGCUGAACGUACUGUACGAAUAAGGAUCGGCUAACUCCGUGCCAGCAGCCGCGGUAAUACGGAGGGUCCAAGCGUUAUCCGGAUUUAUUGGGUUUAAAGGGUGCGUAGGCGGAUUGGUAAGUUAGAGGUGAAAUGUCCGGGCUUAACCCGGGAACUGCCUCUAAUACUGUUGGUCUAGAGAGUAGAUGCGGUAGGCGGAAUGUAUGGUGUAGCGGUGAAAUGCUUAGAGAUCAUACAGAACACCGAUUGCGAAGGCAGCUUACCAAUCUAUAUCUGACGUUGAGGCACGAAAGCGUGGGGAGCAAACAGGAUUAGAUACCCUUGUAGUC
Molecule: ribosomal RNA, 460 nt
Filed under: uncultured bacterium
Lineage: Bacteria
Description: partial 16S ribosomal RNA
Rfam family: Bacterial small subunit ribosomal RNA
Source: RNAcentral